AACUAGCCCUGAUAGAAGUGGAAAUCCUUUACUUUUUUCUUUUAAAAAGUAAAGAUUACAACGGAUAGCAGGAAUAGCU
RNAcentral lists this small RNA (79 nucleotides) under Flavobacterium sp. A45. RNAcentral's name for it is "Flavo-1 RNA". It matches the Rfam family "Flavo-1 RNA". The record is from Rfam by way of RNAcentral. Lineage: Bacteria; Pseudomonadati; Bacteroidota; Flavobacteriia; Flavobacteriales; Flavobacteriaceae.